Molecule: unclassified non-coding RNA, 1811 nt
Filed under: Hevea brasiliensis (rubber tree)
Lineage: Eukaryota; Viridiplantae; Streptophyta; Magnoliopsida; Malpighiales; Euphorbiaceae
Source: RNAcentral
AGGAACAUCAUUUUCAAUGGAAAACCAAAUUGUCAUUCAUUAGGUAGAAGAAACCAUCCAAGAAGUGUACCGUUGUAAUUACACUAAAAAACGAAAUUCUAGUACACAAAUCAGCUUCAUGGAUUGAAUUAGCACAACAAAUUCCAAUAUAAUACCUCUAGCCACCUCAAGUUUUGUCUAUCACCCAAAAGACAAGCAAAACUUUGUUUUUCUCAUACCUUUAGUGCACAUUCUCCUGCAACUAUAUGUAUCUAUUAGUCCACAUUAUGUCAACAAAGUUUCAAUAACUACAAUUUAAAGAAGAGAAAAGCAAAGAUGCAUGCUACUCAUAAAGGUUUAAGGCCAUAUCCCAAGGACCCUGGCAGCGAAAGACAAUAACUUCUCUCUUACCCAACCCGGGAAAGCCCUAUUUCCCUAUGCAAUGAAGAGUAUCUCUGGUUUUACACACUGGCAGAAAACUAUAUUUCCCCAUUAAUGAAACCCUAUUCAGAAUACACAAACAAAAGGCAUCAAAAUCAUCCGUAAAUGCAAGGCAAUUCUAGUGAAGAGAACCCUCACGUGCACAAGCAUAAACCACUUGACUGCAGAACAUUAACAAAGACUCAAAAUAACACGUACCUAUAAUAGAAAAUUGCUUCAAUGGAACUAGCAAGAAGGUAAAGAAACAAGCAAAAAAUUCAACAAGAUGGACCGACACUCCUGCCCUCUUCACUUCCAGACCUUUGCUGUUGCUGUUGGGUUGGCUGAGGUUGUUGCGGUUGAAUCAAAAGCUGUGCCUGAAGCUGAUGAUGAUGGUGCUCCGCUUGAGGUUGAAUCUGGAAAGGGUUGUCAUAGGUGCCCAGAGCCAAAGAAGGUGACAUAGCAGAAGCGGAACUUAGCUGAUUGUAUCCAGUUGCAGUAACCGAACCUGCUGCGUCAAAUCCGCUAUUAAAUCUCACAAGCUCUUGCUGGUGCUGUGAUUGAUUUUGGUGCUGUUGGUGCCGCUGCUGCUGCUGAUCAUAAGCCCUAAACAUCUCCUGCUGGUCUCUUACGGCCAUAGCGGCAGCCAAUUGCUGAGCCUCAAAGAAUUGCUGCUGCUGAUGAUGUGUUGAAUGCUGGUGUGGCUGCUGUGGAUGGUCUCUUAUCAUAAGUUGCCCGCCAUGCGCUGGCCCGGUAGGAAUACCCAUCAUCGGCAACAUAUUAUGGGGCAUGACAUUCGAAGCAGAGGGAUUACCCAGAUGCUGUUGUGGCAUAAACGUCGGGGGUUGCAGAAUGGGAAGCAUUGCACUAGGCCCGAUAUACUGUGCCAACUCUUUCUUGGCAUGGUAGAGGUCAUUCUGGAGUUGCUUGAGUCUUUGUUGAAGGAUGGAUAUUAGACCCACGCAGCCAUAGACAGGAUCGCGGAGACGCUCCUCAGCUUCAUAAGCAAGGGAAUUGACGGCAUCUUCUCGUUGGGCAGUGCUAAGCUCGUUGAGAAGCUUGGCGACAUUGCUGGCACCAAAUACCCUGUGGACACUGGAAAACUUUAGAGGCUGAUCCGGUGGAAAAUACGGUGCAAAAACGCAUUCUUGCGUGCAUUUUCGCCUGAGAAACUUGCACGCCGCACAUGGCGAGUUCGAUGAUGACAUUUUCUCUUCCCUCUUACCAACUCAGGAUACCUUUUAUUAAUUUCGCUAAAGAAAACAAAAGAAAAUCAUGAAACUGUUUCUUCUCAGAUCAAUCUAAAGCACCUGCAUGAUUCAAACACCAACCGUCAACAUGAACUGCAAACCAAAAAAUACGACACCGUUUACAACCAAAAAGGCAGAUAGAAACCUUCCACACAGCGAGAG